GACCUAAUAGCGAAGUCGGUAUCGCAUCCACUCCCCAUUCCAUUGCGAUUAUGUCUGUGGAGGUCCCUCGUUCGAGCCGAGGUUAGGUCA
Non-coding RNA from Mycena rebaudengoi, 90 nucleotides. The record is from the annotation of a GenBank genome assembly. NCBI's taxonomy places the organism in Eukaryota, Fungi, Basidiomycota, Agaricomycetes, Agaricales, Mycenaceae.